Scylla paramamosain (green mud crab) is the source of this 623-nucleotide long non-coding RNA. RefSeq lists it as uncharacterized. The record is from RefSeq and is a predicted model, not a curated record. Lineage: Eukaryota; Metazoa; Arthropoda; Malacostraca; Decapoda; Portunidae. The transcript has 2 exons.
GAGAGAGAGAGAGAGAGAGAGAGAGAGAGAGAAACAAGAUUAAAUGUUUUUAAGACGAAAAACAGAGCUUCAAAGAAUGGACUGAAUAAAUACUGGCGCCAUAACACCUUCAUAACGGUGUCCCUUCACUGCCACACAGAGCCUGCUUCACCACGCCGCACCUCAAGGAGGGCCUCAUCGCCUCCUGGAUACCAUCACCGUCAUGGACGACGUGUGGCUCGUCACAAACUGGCGGGUUUGCAGUGGGUGAGGAGCCCGACGCCCCUCUUCGGGGUGAAGAGCUUCGCCCCCCUUCCAGUGUAACUAGUCGGACCGCCCGAAGUGCACCACCACGGAGGUGUGCAACGUGUGGCACAAGGGCAGCCUCCGGUACAUGAGGACGUGUCAGAAGUGCCUGCACCAGUGCCUCUUGACACACAACACCGGCGUCAAGAGUCUACUCAGUGACCUCCCCUAAGACUGUACUCCCUAGGGCUGGGCGGGAACCAGUUCCGGAACUGGUUCCGAGUGUUGGAAGCGGUGUCACAGCCUGUUUUUCCCCCCAGUCCAAAGUUCCCCGGGGAUCUAUAUUUCCCACGGGGGAAUUACGGGACUAGUCUACAUUUCCUCCCUUUAGUUUAGAA